GGAGGGGUGCAAGCGUUGUUCGGAAUUACUGGGCGUAAAGCGUGUGUAGGCGGGAUUCGGGUAGUCGGGGUGUGAAAGCCCUGGGCUCAACCCAGGAAGUGCGCCCGAAACCCACGGAUCUUGAGUUCCGGAGGGGAUCGGGGAAUUCCCAGUGUAGAGGUGAAAUUCGUAGAUAUUGGGAGGAACACCGGCGGCGAAGGCGCCGAUCUGGACGGACACUGACGCUGAGACACGAAAGCGUGGGUAGCAAACAGGAUUAGAUACCCUGGUAGUCCACGCCGUAAACGAUGUGCACUAGGUGUCGGGGGUAUUGACCCCCUCGGUGCCGACGCUAACGCAUUAAGUGCACCGCCUGGGAAGUACGGCCGCAAGGCUG
This 376-nucleotide ribosomal RNA is filed under the name uncultured organism. RNAcentral describes it as "partial 16S ribosomal RNA". It matches the Rfam family "Bacterial small subunit ribosomal RNA", at positions 526 to 896 of the family's 1533-position model. The record is from RNAcentral.